This 309-nucleotide ribosomal RNA is filed under the name Triticum aestivum (bread wheat). RNAcentral describes it as "partial small subunit ribosomal RNA". The record is from RNAcentral. Lineage: Eukaryota; Viridiplantae; Streptophyta; Magnoliopsida; Poales; Poaceae.
AUGAUCUGGCAUGUACAGAAUGAAAACUUCAUUCUCGAUUCUACGAGAAUUUUUAUGAAAGCAUUUCAUUUGCUUCUCUUCAAUGGAAGUUUCAUUUUCCCAGAAUGUAUCCUAAUUUUUGGCCUAAUUCUUCUUCUGAUGAUCGAUUCAACUUCUCACCCCCAUAUCCAAAUAAAAAAGCGGUUUAAGCUCGCCGUCCAUGAUCGCCGCUCUCUUGGGCGCCGGUUGCUGCUCCCGUCGACAGUAACCAUGGCGUGUGAUGCAUUGAUGGAGGAGAAAAAGGAGAGAGAAAGAAAGGAGAUUGCAUGA